GACGAACGCUGGCGGCGUGCUUAACACAUGCAAGUCGAACGGAAAGACCCUGCUUUUGUGGGGUGCUCGAGUGGCGAACGGGUGAGUAACACGUGAGUAACCUGCCCUUGACUUUGGGAUAACUUCAGGAAACUGGGGCUAAUACCGGAUAGGGGCUCCUGCUGCAUGGUGGGGGUUGGAAAGUUUCGGCGGUUGGGGAUGGACUCGCGGCUUAUCAGCUUGUUGGUGGGGUAGUGGCUUACCAAGGCUUUGACGGGUAGCCGGCCUGAGAGGGUGACCGGCCACAUUGGGACUGAGAUACGGCCCAGACUCCUACGGGAGGCAGCAGUGGGGAAUAUUGCACAAUGGGCGGAAGCCUGAUGCAGCAACGCCGCGUGCGGGAUGACGGCCUUCGGGUUGUAAACCGCUUUCGCCUGUGACGAAGCGUGAGUGACGGUAAUGGGUAAAGAAGCACCGGCUAACUACGUG
Molecule: ribosomal RNA, 468 nt
Filed under: uncultured bacterium
Lineage: Bacteria
Description: partial 16S ribosomal RNA
Rfam family: Bacterial small subunit ribosomal RNA
Source: RNAcentral